GACGAACGCUGGCGGCAUGCUUAACACAUGCAAGUCGAACGGGAAGGCCGUGCUUUGUUGCGCUGCUCGAGGGGCGAAGGGGGAAGUAACACGUGAGUAACCUGCCCUUGACUUUGGGGUAACUUCAGGAAACUGAAUCUAAUACCGGAUAGGAUCUCCUGCUGCAGGGUGGGCGUGGGAUAGUUUCGGCGGUUGGGGAUGGACUGGCGGCUUAUCAGAUUGUUGGUGGGGUAGUGGAAUACCAUGGCUUGGAAGGGUAGCCGGCCUGAGAGGGUGAAAGGACACACUACGACUGGGAUACGGCACAGCCUCGUAUGGGAGGCAGCGGUGGAGAAUAUUAUACAAUGCGAGGAAGCCUGAUGCGGCACCGCCGCGUGGGGGAUGACGGCAUGCGGGUUGUGAACCGCAUCCGCCUGUGACGAAGCGUUAGUGACGGUACUGGGUAAAGAAGCACCGGCUAACUCCGUG
This 468-nucleotide ribosomal RNA is filed under the name uncultured bacterium. Its description in RNAcentral is "partial 16S ribosomal RNA". It matches the Rfam family "Bacterial small subunit ribosomal RNA", at positions 28 to 507 of the family's 1533-position model. The record is from RNAcentral.